GCUGGCGGCGUGCCUAACACAUGCAAGUCGAACGAUUAAAGCUCUCUUCGGAGAGUGCMUAGAGUGGCGCACGGGUGAGUAACACGUAAGUAAUCUACCUUCGAGUGGGGAAUAACAGUCGGAAACGGCUGCUAAUACCGCAUAAUGCAGCGGCAUCGCAAGAUGACAGUUGUUAAAGAUUUAUCGCUUGAAGAGGAGCUUGCGGCAGAUUAGCUAGUUGGUAAGGUAAUGGCUUACCAAGGCUACGAUCUGUAACCGGUCUAAGAGGACGGUCGGUCACACUGACACUGAAUAACGGGUCAGACUCCUACGGGAGGCAGCAGUCGGGAAUUUUGGGCAAUGGGCGAAAGCCUGACCCAGCAACGCCGCGUGAAGGAUGAAGUAUUUCGGUAUGUAAACUUCGAAAGAAUAGGAAGAAUUAAUGACGGUACUAUUUAUAAGGUCCGGCUAACUACGUGCCAGCAGCCGCGGUAAUACAUAGGGACCAAGCGUUGUUCGGAUUUACUGAGCGUAAAGGGCGCGUAGGCGGCAUGACAAGUCACUUGUGAAAUCUCCGGGCUUAACUCGGAACGGCCAAGUGAUACUGUCACGCUAGAGUGCGGAAGGGGCAA
This 611-nucleotide ribosomal RNA is filed under the name uncultured soil bacterium. RNAcentral describes it as "bacterial SSU rRNA". It matches the Rfam family "Bacterial small subunit ribosomal RNA", at positions 35 to 660 of the family's 1533-position model. The record is from RNAcentral.